GCACUGCAGAGGAGUCCCAUACCAGGACGAAACGGCCGUUCAGUGC
This is a non-coding RNA of Schistosoma margrebowiei, 46 nucleotides long. Lineage: Eukaryota; Metazoa; Platyhelminthes; Trematoda; Strigeidida; Schistosomatidae. The record is from Rfam.